AUUCCCCUACAAAAAUUCCCAUAUCUCUUUUAAAUAUUUUAAUGAAAAUGACUAAUACAUUUUCCUCUUUCCUGUUGCCACAUCAGUCUGCUCAAGGACGCGCAGUAAGAUGUCAAUGUAAUCACCAGAGGGCCCCAUCUUUGAUUCAACAAAGCGACAGGAUGUCAGAGAGAAGAGGGCAACAAGGCAAUGACAAGGCUACCCAAACAUACUGGAGACCACCAAGCAACCCUCCUCAAAUACUACAGUCUUUACACCCCAACGAGGACCUCCACCAGGGAAGACUAAUAAGAGCUCGCCCCACCGCGGCCCACAGUAGCUUCAGAAGAUGUAAAUCAGAGGAACCAGCCUAUGAAGGUGCUGACCAACCUUUUAAAGGUCUUUUUCCAGAUGAGUCUAGGCCAGUAGAUCCUGGCGAGGGGAAUCGUUCCUGUAGCACCGCGUUACGCAACCCAGUUUCUGGGACUCCACGGGGGAUAAGUGCGAGAGAUGGUCCAGUAUCAGCAGCUCCGUCUGCAGCACAGCAGGAGUGGAGAAUCCCCGCUGUGACACUAAAGAACACUGUCACCCCUCCAGCUGCUGGUUCCACUUGCUACGACACGCUGCCGCCGAUUCGACUUCACAAGCGCAUGCCUCUUCCUACAUCCAAACCAGGGGGCACUGGUGGCUUUGCUUUGCCGAAGCCGAGGUCUUCCCCAGUAUUGCUGGCAAACCAGUCUAAGCUGCUUCCGCCUCCAACUAAAGGCCUUCCCUGCUUUAACAGCAGGCCGCAGGUGCAGGCCCCCAGUGCUUCGUACUUUGUUGCUUCAGCCUCACAGAACUUCAGAGACUUGCAGGGAUACACAAGGAAGAAAGCAGCCAGAGAACAUUCAAACAACUCGUGUCAGCCACAGCCUGGAUCCCCUUAAGCAGCUCACGCCUCCUCAAGCCAAAGAAUCCCUGCGGAGGUGAAAUUUGUUCAUGAGCACAAAGCUAAAGUUACUCCAAUGUUGACAACAGUCCUUUUUUUUUUUUAUUUAUUUUUUUUUCUCUUGGUAGGUUUUCUUUUUGAGUUGUAACAGAACUAGCUCUAAGUACAGUAUAGGCUGGUACACUGCACUUGUUGAUGUAUUGGUAAACAGCUUAAACGGGAUGCAUUAUUUGUUUUUGUAUGACUCACACAACUCCAUUAGAUACAGAUUGCGUUAUUUAUUAAACACAGUUCAGUUUCUACAGUCCCAUGAGACAUAGACACAUUUAUACUGCUGUCAGAGGGAAAACCAGUAAAUGGCAUAUGGAGAGGGUGAAGAUGGAUAAAUGGCACCAGAAUUAUAAUACUGAAAUUAAAAUCAGUAAAUAAAGAAUAAAAACAGCACUACGUAAAAUAAUGA
This 1370-nucleotide long non-coding RNA is filed under the name Gouania willdenowi (blunt-snouted clingfish). Its description in RNAcentral is "lncRNA (ENSGWIG00000023942.1)". The record is from RNAcentral. Lineage: Eukaryota; Metazoa; Chordata; Actinopteri; Blenniiformes; Gobiesocidae.